Syngnathus acus (greater pipefish) is the source of this 193-nucleotide long non-coding RNA. RefSeq lists it as uncharacterized. The transcript is spliced from 3 exons. NCBI's taxonomy places the organism in Eukaryota, Metazoa, Chordata, Actinopteri, Syngnathiformes, Syngnathidae. The record is from RefSeq and is a predicted model, not a curated record.
GUGUGAUAACGUCUGACCUUGUAGUCUUAACUGAGAGCGACUUCUACAUAUGUGCAAAGGGUGUCAUAGAGAAGAGAAAGAUAAUAAAGCAAGAGAAGGGUUACAGCGAUAUAACGGCAUAGCUCAAGCUACCUAGCUAAUCACAUGUGCCAAAGAGGCCUAUUCUAACAAACCGUGAGGAAUUAGGAUGUGG